RNAcentral lists this ribosomal RNA (249 nucleotides) under uncultured bacterium. Its description in RNAcentral is "partial 16S ribosomal RNA". It matches the Rfam family "Bacterial small subunit ribosomal RNA", at positions 57 to 305 of the family's 1533-position model. The record is from RNAcentral.
GCAAGUCGAGGGGUAACAUUGGUGCUUGCAUCAGAUGACGACCGGCGCACGGGUGCGUAACGCGUAUACAAUCUGCCUUUUGCUGAGGGAUAGCCCAGAGAAAUUUAGAUUAAUACCUCAUGGUAUGUAAAGUUGGCAUCAACAUUACAUUAAAGGUUACGGCAAAAGAUGAGUAUGCGUUCUAUUAGCUAGAUGGUGUGGUAACGGCAUACCAUGGCGACGAUAGAUAGGGGCCCUGAGAGGGGGAUC